ACUAUAGGACAUUAAGUAGAUCCUCUGGGGUUGCAGAGGUGAAUUGACUUGGAUGUUGCCUUCUGCAGGUAGGAAGAAGGUAAGGAUGGGCCCUAAAACAGCUGGUGUAGAGGGGAGAACUUCUUCAGAGCCAUUUGGAUACUAAUGGCCCUGAUAUCCAAGCCAGUGAUCUCAUUAUGACAUCAGCUUUUUGUAUUAUGGAGCAGUGGAGUCUGUAGUUGAGCAGGAGUGGUUGUCCAAGGCAGGGAGUGGGGAGAGAGGCCAGAGAGAGAGAUGUCACCACCCGGGACAGUUCUGUUGGGGACAAGUUUGUUGCUCAGACAUAUAAAUGGUCCUGACUGGGGUUGAACAGUUUGCCACUUUGAUGACGUGGCACUUGAGUGGGCCUUGAAGAAGUGAUUUCCUCCAGUACGAGGGGAUUUAGGGAGGGUGUAGGGA
Vicugna pacos (alpaca) is the source of this 438-nucleotide non-coding RNA. NCBI's taxonomy places the organism in Eukaryota, Metazoa, Chordata, Mammalia, Artiodactyla, Camelidae. The record is from RefSeq and is a predicted model, not a curated record.